CGGGCCAGCUCAGCCCAGCCAGUCCGGCCACUGCCGCGCCCCCGGCGCCCGCGCCCACCAACGCACCAGGCCUGCAGUUCGCCUGCGCCCGGCAGCCCGAGCUCGCCAUGAUGCAUUGCUCUUACUGGGACCACGACAGUAAGACCGGCGCGCUGCACUCGCGCCUCGAUCUCUGAGAGUCCAGCGCACGAAGGCUGCGAAGAUGCAGGGACGCGCGACGCCCGCCUUGGCCGCCGCAGCCGGCCAGACCGCGCGCCCGCUGGGGCCCCCUGAGCCAGCGCCCACCGCCCCUCUGCGCCUCCUCGCUCUCCUCCGCUCCUCUUGCUCCUCUUUGUCUCCGCUUCUCCCCCUGUGUUCGCCUCCCUGCCCUCUUUGCCCUUUCGCUCCUCUGGCCUGCAGGCCGCCUCUCCACGCGUUUUCCUCAGGCCCAGUCUUCUCCGGGCACCCCACCGUCGGGGCUGGACACCCGUCGCCAAAAUUCACGGCGGAGAGGAAGUGCCCCGGGCCGAGGUGCAGCCGGGCCUGGCAGCGCAGACCUCCUGGCCUUUUCUCGCAGGAGAUUUGAAGAAUUCCUGUCGGGCCUUCGAAAAGCUAUGUUCAGAGAGAUUUCCCCCUAUCUUCCGAUGCCAGCCCUGAGCGCGGGGAGAUCACUGUCUGCCUGACGGAAGCUGCAGGGUCGACUCAUCCCCUCCCUCGUUUUUGUUUUUCAAACGUCUUGCUUCUCCCACUCUGGGCAAGAGAAAUGUGAAACCCGGCAGCAGUCGGACCAGGCGGGCUUGUGGCUCCGAGCCUGCCGGCCCACAACUCUAGACCUGGUUGUUUUGUAGUGUGUCGUUCGGAGGACCAAAUUUUUCUAGAAAGAACUAGAGCACUUUUGUU
This 879-nucleotide long non-coding RNA is filed under the name Moschus moschiferus (Siberian musk deer). Its description in RNAcentral is "lncRNA (ENSMMSG00000007761.1)". The record is from RNAcentral. Lineage: Eukaryota; Metazoa; Chordata; Mammalia; Artiodactyla; Moschidae.